This 301-nucleotide ribosomal RNA is filed under the name uncultured bacterium. RNAcentral describes it as "partial 16S ribosomal RNA". It matches the Rfam family "Bacterial small subunit ribosomal RNA", at positions 509 to 807 of the family's 1533-position model. The record is from RNAcentral.
CAGUCGCCACGGGAAAACAGAGGGUGCAAGCGUUAAUCGGAAUUACUGGGCGUAAAGCGCGCGUAGGUGGUUUGUUAAGUUGGAUGUGAAAGCCCCGGGCUCAACCUGGGAACUGCAUCCAAAACUGGCAAGCUAGAGUACGGUAGAGGGUGGUGGAAUUUCCUGUGUAGCGGUGAAAUGCGUAGAUAUAGGAAGGAACACCAGUGGCGAAGGCGACCACCUGGACUGAUACUGACACUGAGGUGCGAAAGCGUGGGGAGCAAACAGGAUUAGAUACCCCCGUAGUCCCUGUCUCUUAUAC